CGAACGCUGGCGGCAGGCUUAACACAUGCAAGUCGAACGCCCCGCAAGGGGAGUGGCAGACGGGUGAGUAACGCGUGGGAACAUACCCAACUCUACGGAAUAACUCAGGGAAACUUGUGCUAAUACCGUAUACGCCCUUUGGGGGAAAGAUUUAUCGGAGUCGGAUUGGCCCGCGUUGGAUUAGCUAGUUGGUGGGGUAAAGGCCUACCAAGGCGACGAUCCAUAGCUGGUCUGAGAGGAUGAUCAGCCACAUUGGGACUGAGACACGGCCCAAACUCCUACGGGAGGCAGCAGUGGGGAAUAUUGGACAAUGGGCGCAAGCCUGAUCCAGCCAUGCCGCGUGUGUGAUGAAGGCCUUAGGGUUGUAAAGCACUUUCACCGGAGAAGAUAAUGACGGUAUCCGGAGAAGAAGCCCCGGCUAACUUCGUGCCAGCAG
Molecule: ribosomal RNA, 436 nt
Filed under: uncultured Rhizobium sp.
Lineage: Bacteria; Pseudomonadati; Pseudomonadota; Alphaproteobacteria; Hyphomicrobiales; Rhizobiaceae
Description: bacterial SSU rRNA
Rfam family: Bacterial small subunit ribosomal RNA
Source: RNAcentral